Molecule: non-coding RNA, 88 nt
Organism: Heliocybe sulcata
Lineage: Eukaryota; Fungi; Basidiomycota; Agaricomycetes; Gloeophyllales; Gloeophyllaceae
Source: the annotation of a GenBank genome assembly
GGCCGGCUAGCGUAAUGGUUAACGCGCCAGUUUCCGGUUACUUGAGUAAUCUAGCUGGAGAUUCUGGGUUCGACUCCCAGGUUGGUCG